RNAcentral lists this long non-coding RNA (333 nucleotides) under Sorghum bicolor (sorghum). Its description in RNAcentral is "long non-coding RNA (SBIC_LNC017542)". Lineage: Eukaryota; Viridiplantae; Streptophyta; Magnoliopsida; Poales; Poaceae. The record is from RNAcentral.
GGUUGCAUAUUGGUCCUUUCUCUUGUUUAUUUGUUAAUUAAAAUUGAUACUUAAGAACCGUCAACAAAUACCCCCAUACUUAGGCUUUUACUCGUCCUCGAGAAAAGGAUGGUUAAGAACAAUAUCUGGGGUAAACAUUUAAAACAUUCUCUUUAUAUAAUUGCAGGGUGUUAAAAAUCCACUGUGUACCAUAGUCAGGGAAGUUUAUGAUCAAGAGUAAAGAUCCUUUCUUCUCAAUCUUGUCACUUGGAGUUUUUUUGUAUAUUUUUGAAAGAAAGUUAGCAUACCUUUUGAUCCUCAUAGGUUCUCUCAGAUCACUCAUUAUCUUUUAUA